AACACACUUUAGGAAUUACUGCCCUAAGCCUCGCAAUUACUACAAACAAUUUUUUAAAAUCCUAUUCCUUAAAAUCAUCCAUCUAAUCAGGUAUUCAGUUUUCAUAUUGUCCUUUCUCUUCAGCAUUAUGACCUUUGAUAUGUAAGAAGAGAUUAAAAGAUUAUCUUUGUUUUCUGUUCAUUCCAUCUUCUACCUACUAAAAAAUUCACUCGUUUUCCAAUUUUUUUUUCCUGAAUAGUCAACCACACUUUGGGGAACAUAAGAAGGUGUGGAUGUGUCCACCUAGAAUUAGCUCAUUUAGGAAAUCCACUUCUCUUAUUCCGAAAAAAUACUGCCCAGCAUGCUGAGUCUGGUUGGGACCAACCCUGCCCAGGGAUGAAAAAGACAGGAGUACUCUACCUACCUUCAGUGAGGGUUGCACACAUGAAGCAAAGCAAAAUAGAUUCAUCUCUGAAGUUCUGUACUCAGGAAAAAAAGAAAGAAGGAAGGAAGGAAAAGAAAAGAAUCUUGGUUUGCUUGCAAACUGCAAGCUAUGAAAACAAGGCAGUUAUUUUAUUUUCAGCAGUCAUCAUAUUCAUAUUCUUUUUUUGCCAAGGAAAGUUUGAGUUAAUUUUUAUCUCAGGCAACUGAAAAAGUCAUAACACAUGCAUUAUAGUUAUUAGCAAAGCAUUAAGGAUUACUAGAGUUCACACUUACCCAAACAAUACCCAACAUGAUUACAUAUUUCUCCGUUUUAGAGGAGGUCCUAAAUUCCUAUAGAAACAGUGAUAACUAGCUUUCUUGUCUUGUUCCACUUCUCUCUCCUCCAGAAACUGCAUUUGCAAAUACAAGGCGUUUUCUUCAGAGGAUGGGGAAACGGAAGCCUAAAAACUGGAGUCCCUUGCUCAAAGUCAGAGGGCUAGAAAAAGGCACAACCAGUGUUAAUUGUAGGGUAGAUAUCUUCUCCCAACCACGACAAGGCCUUCAGUAGGACAUGGGCCAACCAAACCAUAAAUACACACAGGCCGAGCCCCUAUUAAAUUCAAGGUUCUCUGCUGAAGGAGACUGAACAGAAGUAUGAGCCAUUCUUCCCAGACUCAAAGAGACAGAUGGCAAAACUGGGUUCCUACUAGAGAUGCUCUUCUUACUCAUCUGACCAUCCCUGUCACCAUCAAUUCCCAGUAUCAUAUUCUAACAGUUGAAGUACAGCGAAUAUUUCUGCCUACAAAGAAUUUACAAUUCACUUCGGGAGUAAGAGCAAGGAGCAGACACGACAGGCAAAUGAGCUCGCGAUGAACUCUCCAUCCCAAUGUCUCUACCUGCCCUGCUAUUCAUCUUCUGCAGUCUACACAGAACUCUUUCUCCUUCAAAGCAAGCUCUAGGGUUACGGAAGAAAAAUCAGGUGCAACGAACAGGAACCACUUCACUUGUUAGCCAAGAAGAUGUUGGAGAUGCUGAAAAAUGAAAAGUUAGGGCAUCGUGUAAUCCAGCCUCAGGCUGGCCUUUGAGUUGAAUGUCUUAAAGGUCCUAUCAGACAGUGAUGCCCAGUGUUUAAUGCCUUGAUCACCCACAUUUCACUUGUGAGUUUCUGAGGACUCCCUGACUGAGAAAAACAAUGUAUUACCAUGCGAGAUGGAAUGGAUGCUAUUUAUUUUCACUUUUUAAGGGAGACAGCUGAAAGAUAUCUUGUUCAAAGGAAGGCAAAAGACAAUCACGUGUCACGGGCUCAAGGUAAGCCAGCUGGCACUACCAGCCAUGCCAAGCAGGCUACCAAUUUAUAAUUCAAAUGUUGGAAAGGUUUAUCAUUUGUAUGUUCAA
Molecule: long non-coding RNA, 1797 nt
Organism: Canis lupus familiaris (dog)
Lineage: Eukaryota; Metazoa; Chordata; Mammalia; Carnivora; Canidae
Exons: 5
Source: RefSeq, a predicted model, not a curated record